UUGCUAUCUGCGAUAUGGAAGAUUCGAACCUGCCGCAGGUUCGGGUCGAACGCAGUGAGACAACGGAGCCGUUUACGGCGACGGCCCGAAGGGCGAGCGAAGCGAGUCAUCCUGCA
This 116-nucleotide small RNA is filed under the name Salmonella enterica. Its description in RNAcentral is "partial RtT sRNA". It matches the Rfam family "RtT RNA". From Rfam's summary of the family: This family represents a bacterial cis-regulatory element known as RtT RNA. The exact function of RtT is unknown although it is thought that it may be involved in changing the cellular response in relation to amino acid starvation. Lineage: Bacteria; Pseudomonadati; Pseudomonadota; Gammaproteobacteria; Enterobacterales; Enterobacteriaceae. RNAcentral also lists the same sequence under 2 other names. The record is from RNAcentral.